RNAcentral lists this ribosomal RNA (254 nucleotides) under uncultured bacterium. RNAcentral describes it as "partial 16S ribosomal RNA". It matches the Rfam family "Bacterial small subunit ribosomal RNA", at positions 524 to 776 of the family's 1533-position model. The record is from RNAcentral.
UACGUAGGGGGCAAGCGUUGUCCGGAUUUAUUGGGCGUAAAGAGCUCGUAGGUGGUUCGGUAAGUCGGAUGUGAAAUCUCCAGGCUCAACCUGGAGGGGUCAUUCGAUACUGCCGUGACGAGAGUUCGGUAGGGGAGUGUGGAAUUCCUGGUGUAGCAGUGAAAUGCGUAGAUAUCAGGAGGAACACCGAUGGCGAAGGCAGGUCUCUGGGCUGACACUGACGCUCAUGCACGAAAGCGUGGGGAGCAAACAGG